RNAcentral lists this long non-coding RNA (447 nucleotides) under Eutrema salsugineum. Its description in RNAcentral is "long non-coding RNA (ESAL_LNC002107)". Lineage: Eukaryota; Viridiplantae; Streptophyta; Magnoliopsida; Brassicales; Brassicaceae. The record is from RNAcentral.
GCUGGAUCCGAUGGAAGCGAGAGCCAUGGUGAGAGCUGCGGUCAAAGUGGUCUUCCCAUGGUCAACGUGUCCAAUCGUGCCGAUGUUCACAUGAGGCUUCUUCCUCUCGAACUUCCCGCGAGCGGCGCGGACGGUGAAGGAGCGGCGGGUGGAUUGGGAAGCGGCGGUGGUGGAGGAGAGGCUAGCCAAUGAGUAUGAAGGGAUGAAGGAGGAAGAGAGGUUUAGGGUUGUGAGCUUACCGGAGGUGGAAAUGGCGGAAACAGCGGCGGGGCAGAGGGAAGGAGAAGGAGAAGAGUAGGAAGAAAUGAGUCUAGAGGAGGAAGAACAAGCGGCUGGAGCCGAUAUCGCCAUGGAAGACGGAUUGGAGCAGAGGGAGAAAUCGAAACACUAGGGUUUGAAAUUUAGUGGAUUAUUUGGAGAAGAAGAAGAUUUGGGGAUAGAGUGAGA